Nicotiana attenuata is the source of this 1075-nucleotide long non-coding RNA. RefSeq lists it as uncharacterized. Lineage: Eukaryota; Viridiplantae; Streptophyta; Magnoliopsida; Solanales; Solanaceae. The record is from RefSeq and is a predicted model, not a curated record. The transcript has 2 exons.
UACACUUUUGAGUUAUCCAAAAUAGCCCUAGCAAUCUCCAAUCACGUUCCACCGGCACAUUAAAUGUAGGGACUAAAUUACCUUUUCUUACAAUUUCCACCCAAACACCUUCCACUUCUUCUGCGCAAUUUCUAGUAUAUCCAUGAAGAAAGAAUCACACCCAUCUAAAUCACAGUUCCACACCCAGUUAGGUAACCAAAAAAGUGAGAGAUAAAUUGACGAUGAGAUGAAUCCAUUUCCAUCAAGAUCAAUCCUAUAAAAACAACGAUGAAGUUGGUUAGAUUUGGUUUUACUUUUGUUUGCUGGGUUUACAAGCUUAAGAAGAUCAGAAGCAUCACUCAAAGAAAUUGGCUAGAUUUGGCUUAACUUUUGAGGGCGGAAUUAAAGAAUAGAUAUGUUGGAAAUCUCAUAAACAACAAUACUUUAUCUUUUGAGAUUUGUGUUUAGCUUUUUGGAGCUUCUUCGGAAGGACGAGGAGUUAAAAAUAUGUUAAUCCCUUCUGAAAGUGGGUUAAUUUUUGGAUUAAUGUUAAUGGAGUUUUUUGUUAAUCCCUACUGAAAAUGAAAAUGGAGCCAAAUUUAAUUUCCUUAUGAUUCUGAUGCUGGAUUGAAAGGGUGAAGAAGAAGAUUGAACAAGGAAAUGACAAAAAAACUGAUAAGAAUGGACAUUGGGCCUAACUCAACCCCAAAAACUAGCUUGUGAGGUGAGGAUUGCCCAAGCCAUAUAAGGAGAUCAAGGACCUCAACUCCCACCGAUGUGGGACAACUCAACACCCCCCUCAUGCCCAGGCCUUUGGAGCGUGGACAACAUAAAUAGGGGCCCAACAUCGGUAACAAUAAUUGGGAUGGACCUGGCUCUGAUACCAUGAUAAGAAUGGACAUUGAGCCUAACUCAACCUCAAAAGCUAGCUUGUGAGGUGAGGAUUGCCCAAGCCAUAUAAGGAGACCAAGGACCUUAACUCCAACCGAUAUGGACAACUCAACAAAAACCCAAUUAGUUCAUAUGUUGUUGAUGUGAUGCUAGGGGUAUUUUGGAGAACUCAAAAGUGUAUAUAAUGCUAACCUACUACAACUAU